AUCUGUGUGUGUGUGUGUGUGUGUGUGUGAUGGAUCUGGAUCUGUGUGUGUGUGUGUGUGUGUGUGUGUGAUGGAUCUGGAUCUGUGUGUGUGUGUGUGUGUUAAUGGUGUUCCUUCCCAGGCGGUACACUGUUUCUGUGUUGGAGUGGCACAGAGAUCUGAGUGCACCCUUGAUGCCCACCGCCACGUCAGACCACAACGGCAUCACUCACAUCGCGACCACAAGCUGAAACUGGACAUCUGCUACCAUAGAAACCGCCAUGACUGUUGACCUGUUGGGUCUAGUCCAGGUCAGCCUCAGGUCUGAAGGUCUCACCGCUGUGGGAUAUUCAGCCUCAGGUCUGAAGGUCUCACCGCUGUGGGAUAUUCAGCCUCAGGUCUGAAGGUCUCACUGCUGUGCUGUGGGAUAUUCAGCCUCAGGUCUGAAGGUCUCACCGCUGUGGGAUAUUCAGCCUCAGGUCUGAAGGUCUCACUGCUGUGCUGUGGGAUAUUCAGCCUCAGGUCUGAAGGAUGUUCAGAGAUGUUCAGUUGAUUUCUGGGAUUCCUUUCUCUUCCGAUCUCAUCAGUGAGAUGUGAUGUUCACUGAGAGCAGGGUUCCUUCCCAAGCAUAGAACCAGACUUCACUGAGAGCAGGGUUCCUUCCCAAGCAUAGAACCAGACUUCACUGAGAGGAGAGUUCCGUGCUCAAGCAUAGAACCAGACUUCACUGAGAGGAGAGUUCCGUGCUCAAGAAUAGAACUGGAGUUAAUAGAGAUCAGUGCGCACUCAAGCAAGAACCAGACUUCAUUGGUAGUUCCAUGCUCAAACAUAGAACCCGAAGUGAACAGAGUUUCAUGCUCAAGCAUAGAACCAGACUUCAGUGAGAGAGCAUCAAGUUCCGUGCUCAUGUUUGUUAGUUUGUAAUCCUCCUUGUGUUCCUGCUGAGGCUCAGCGCCUAGCCUAGCGUAGCCUAGCCUAGCCUAGCGCUGCUAAGUGUCCUUACGGCUUAGCUUUGCUGUAGGAAUCUAGCAGGGACAGUCUUUGUACAUAACCAAAGGAAACACUGUAAACAUUGCUAUGUGAUGUGGGAAUAUGAUUUGUACAUAAUUUGACACCCAAUAAAAGCCUACCUGUGGUAAUGAU
Long non-coding RNA from Alosa alosa (allis shad), 1122 nucleotides. RefSeq lists it as uncharacterized. The transcript is spliced from 2 exons. Lineage: Eukaryota; Metazoa; Chordata; Actinopteri; Clupeiformes; Clupeidae. The record is from RefSeq and is a predicted model, not a curated record.